Molecule: ribosomal RNA, 345 nt
Filed under: uncultured bacterium
Lineage: Bacteria
Description: bacterial SSU rRNA
Rfam family: Bacterial small subunit ribosomal RNA
Source: RNAcentral
AGAGUUUGAUCCUGGCUCAGGAUGAACGCUAGCUACAGGCUUAACACAUGCAAGUCGAGGGGCAGCAUGUUGGUUGCUUGCAACCAACGAUGGCGACCGGCGCGCGGGUGAGUAACGCGUAUCCAACCUACCCUUGUCCAUCGGAUAACCCGUCGAAAGGCGGCCUAACACGAUAUGCGGUUCACGGCAGGCAUCUAAGGUGAACGAAAUGUGAAGGGGAAGGAUGGGGAUGCGUCUGAUUAGCUUGUUGGCGGGUAACGCCACAAGGCUACGAUCAGUAGGGGUUCUGAGGGGAAGGUCCCCCANAUUGGAACUGAGACACGGUCCAAACUCCUACGGGAGGCA